UAUUGCACAAUGGGGGAAACCCUGAUGCAUCGACGCCGCGUGAAGGAAGAAGAAUUUCGGUAUGUAAACUUCUAUCAGCAGGGAAGAAAAUGACGUUACCUGACUAAGAAGCCCCGGCUAACUACGUGCCAGCAGCCGCGGUAAUACGUAGGGGGCAAGCGUUAUCCGGAUUUACUGGGUGUAAAGGGAGCGUAGACGGCUGUGCAAGCCAGAUGUGAAAGCCCGGGGCUCAACCCCGGGACUGCAUUUGGAACUGUGUGGCUGGAGUGUCGGAGAGGCAGGCGGAAUUCCUAGUGUAGCGGUGAAAUGCGUAGAUAUUAGGAGGAACACCAGUGGCGAAGGCGGCCUGCUGGACGAUGACUGACGUUGAGGCUCGAAAGCGUGGGGAGCAAACAGG
This 397-nucleotide ribosomal RNA is filed under the name uncultured bacterium. Its description in RNAcentral is "bacterial SSU rRNA". It matches the Rfam family "Bacterial small subunit ribosomal RNA", at positions 362 to 776 of the family's 1533-position model. The record is from RNAcentral.